CCUACGGGGGGCUGCAGUGGGGAAUAUUGGACAAUGGGGGCAACCCUGAUCCAGCCAUGCCGCGUGUGUGAAGAAGGCCCUCGGGUUGUAAAGCACUUUCAGUGAGGAAGAACGCCUGGUGGUUAAUACCCAUCAGGAAAGACAUCACUCACAGAAGAAGCACCGGCUAACUCCGUGCCAGCAGCCGCGGUAAUACGGAGGGUGCGAGCGUUAAUCGGAAUUACUGGGCGUAAAGCGCGCGUAGGUGGCUUGAUAAGCCGGUUGUGAAAGCCCCGGGCUCAACCUGGGAACGGCAUCCGGAACUGUCAAGCUAGAGUGCAGGAGAGGAAGGUAGAAUUCCCGGUGUAGCGGUGAAAUGCGUCGAGCUCGGGAGGAAUACCAGUGGCGAAGGCGGCCUUCUGGACUGACACUGACACUGAGGUGCGAAAGCGUGGGUAGCAAACAGGAUUAGAUACCCCUGUAGUC
RNAcentral lists this ribosomal RNA (465 nucleotides) under Vreelandella stevensii. Its description in RNAcentral is "partial 16S ribosomal RNA". It matches the Rfam family "Bacterial small subunit ribosomal RNA", at positions 338 to 795 of the family's 1533-position model. Lineage: Bacteria; Pseudomonadati; Pseudomonadota; Gammaproteobacteria; Oceanospirillales; Halomonadaceae. The record is from RNAcentral.